Molecule: long non-coding RNA, 610 nt
Filed under: Salmo salar (Atlantic salmon)
Lineage: Eukaryota; Metazoa; Chordata; Actinopteri; Salmoniformes; Salmonidae
Description: lncRNA (ENSSSAG00000094235.1)
Source: RNAcentral
GUCAAAAGACCAAUUAGUGGAAAAAAAAGACGUGUAAAUGCAGCCCAUGUUACUCUUUUCAACAGAUCUUUACCAUGUGACUUCACGUUUUUUUCUUGGAUUGCUGAACAUACCACGUCUCGUUCAGCGCUUUGACGUCCUGAGACAUACUGCUGAUGUAAUUGGGCAUCUGGACACCAGUGCAUUCUUGAACCAAGUAACUUGGUCUCACUCCUCCAAAGAUGGGGCCAGGACCACCUCCGAUUCCCUCCCUGGCAGCUUUGUGGUCGUAAAGCACAGGGCUCCCGAGUGGCGCAGUGGUCUAAGGGACUGCAUCUCAGUGCAAGAGGCGUUACUACAGUCCCUGGUUCAAUUCCAGGCUGUAUCACAUCCAUCUGUGAUCGGGUGUCCCGUAGGGCGGCGCGCAAUUGGCCCGGCAUCGUCAGGGUUUGGCCAGGAGCCGUUUGGAAGAGCCGGAAUGCCCAUCACUAAUUCCUGUUGCUUUGUGCGGAUGCAGAAUAAAAAAAGGCCCGCGAUGAAGACAUAUCAGUCCGCUAAUAGUGAAAUGGUUUUUAACUAAAUGUAUUUGGGUGUUUACCAGCAUUUGUAACUUGAAUCUGAUAAUUAUGUG